CCCAGACUCCUACGGGAGGCAGCAGUGAGGAAUAUUGGUCAAUGGCCGGGAGGCUGAACCAGCCAAGUCGCGUGAGGGAAGACGGCCCUACGGGUUGUAAACCUCUUUUGUCAGGGAGCAAGGUGCAGGUCGGGACCUGCUGUGAGAGUACCUGAAGAAAAAGCAUCGGCUAACUACGUGCCAGCAGCCGCGGUAAUACGUAGGGGGCAAGCGUUAUCCGGAUUUACUGGGUGUAAAGGGAGCGUAGACGGCAGUGCAAGUCUGGAGUGAAAGGCGGGGGCUCAACCCCCGGGACUGCCCUUGGAACUGCAUGGCUGGAGUGCGGGAGGGGCAGGCGGAAUUCCUGGUGUAGCGGUGAAAUGCGUAGAUAUCAGGAGGAACACCGGCGGCGAAGGCGGCCUGCUGGACCGCGACUGACGUUGAGGCUCGAAAGCGUGGGGAGCGAACAGGAUUAGAUACCCUUGUA
Molecule: ribosomal RNA, 466 nt
Filed under: uncultured bacterium
Lineage: Bacteria
Description: bacterial SSU rRNA
Rfam family: Bacterial small subunit ribosomal RNA
Source: RNAcentral